This 514-nucleotide long non-coding RNA is filed under the name Homo sapiens (human). Its description in RNAcentral is "HSALNT0308649". The record is from RNAcentral. Lineage: Eukaryota; Metazoa; Chordata; Mammalia; Primates; Hominidae.
UGCUGAUCUGAGGAGAUGAUAGGAAGACGAGUGUGCUUGACUCCAUACUGACUGGUUUUCUUUAAAUCCUUCUGACUCUGCAAUAAUUUAGAAUAUGAUGUUAAAUGAUGAAGAACAAAUAACUGAUAUUAUUGGAGUAGUUCACACUGUACCAGGCAUAUGUACAUCAUUUAACUAAUUUGACCCUCUCACCCACCCUUUAAGCAGGUGCAACCAAACAUUUCUGUAUCCUGAGCUCCACCUCUCUUCCUUAAAAUUUGCUGUUUUGUGCACUGGCGUAGAGAGUUAUAGUAUAAAGCCACAAUGACAAUGGAAGGUUACGGGACAAAGCCAGAAUGACAUAUAGAAUCAUCCAGAUGUGAACAAGUCUGCAGCACAUUUAAUACAUUUCCAUGAAGGAUCCUGGUGGGGUGCUGCUCAAGUUACCCACAGUGGAGAUCAGCUGGAGAAUCCAGCGGCCCAUUGCUUUGCCCUUCUCUGUUUCAUCUUACCCGUCUCCCACUUAACUGCUGCC